GAGGUUAAGCGACUAAGCGUACACGGUGGAUGCCCUGGCAGUCAGAGGCGAUGAAGGGCGUGCUAAUCUGCGAUAAGCGCCGGUAAGGUGAUAUGAACCGUUAUAACCGGCGAUACCCGAAUGGGGAAACCCAGUGUGACUCGUCACACUAUCAUUAACUGAAUCCAUAGGUUAAUGAGGCGAACCGGGGGAACUGAAACAUCUAAGUACCCCGAGGAAAAGAAAUCAACCGAGAUUCCCCCAGUAGCGGCGAGCGAACGGGGAGGAGCCCAGAGCCUGAAUCAGCAUGUGUGUUAGUGGAAGCGUCUGGAAAGGCGCGCGAUACAGGGUGACAGCCCCGUACACAAAAGCGCAUGUGCUGUGAGCUCGAUGAGUAGGGCGGGACACGUGGUAUCCUGUCUGAAUAUGGGGGGACCAUCCUCCAAGGCUAAAUACUCCUGACUGACCGAUAGUGAACCAGUACCGUGAGGGAAAGGCGAAAAGAACCCCGGCGAGGGGAGUGAAAAAGAACCUGAAACCGU
RNAcentral lists this ribosomal RNA (521 nucleotides) under Salmonella enterica subsp. enterica serovar Heidelberg. Its description in RNAcentral is "partial 23S ribosomal RNA". It matches the Rfam family "Bacterial large subunit ribosomal RNA", at positions 1 to 559 of the family's 2925-position model. Lineage: Bacteria; Pseudomonadati; Pseudomonadota; Gammaproteobacteria; Enterobacterales; Enterobacteriaceae. The record is from RNAcentral. RNAcentral also lists the same sequence under 6 other names.